UACAGGGGGGGCAAGCGUUGUUCGGAAUUACUGGGCGUAAAGGGUUCGUAGGUGGCCAACUAAGUCAGACGUGAAAUCCCUCAGCUUAACUGGGGAACUGCGUCUGAUGCUGGAUGGCUUGAGUGUAGGAGAGGAAUGCGGAAUUCCAGGUGUAGCGGUGAAAUGCGUAGAUAUCUGGAGGAACACCGGUGGCGAAGGCGGCAUUCUGGACUACAACUGACACUGAGGAACGAAAGCCAGGGGAGCAAACGGG
This 253-nucleotide ribosomal RNA is filed under the name uncultured bacterium. RNAcentral describes it as "partial 16S ribosomal RNA". It matches the Rfam family "Bacterial small subunit ribosomal RNA", at positions 524 to 776 of the family's 1533-position model. The record is from RNAcentral.